AGUGAACGCUGGCGGUAGGCCUAACACAUGCGAGUCGAACGGCAGCACAGUAAGAGCUUGCUCUUACGGGUGGCGAGUGGCGGACGGGUGAGGAAUACAUCGGAAUCUACUUUUUCGUGGGGGAUAACGUAGGGAAACUUACGCUAAUACCGCAUACGACCUACGGGUGAAAGCAGGGGAUCUUCGGACCUUGCGCGAUUGAAUGAGCCGAUGUCGGAUUAGCUAGUUGGCGGGGUAAAGGCCCACCAAGGCGACGCUCCGUAGCUGGGCUGAGAGGAUGAUCAGCCACACUGGAACUGAGACACGGUCCAGACUCCUACGGGAGGCAGCAGUGGGGAAUAUUGGACAAUGGGCGCAAGCCUGAUCCAGCCAUACCGCGUGGGUGAAGAAGGCCUUCGGGUUGUAAAGCCCUUUUGUUGGGAAAGAAAAGCAGCAGGUUAAUACCCCGCUGUUCUGACGGUACCCAAAGAAUAAGCACCGGCUAACUUCGUG
RNAcentral lists this ribosomal RNA (492 nucleotides) under uncultured bacterium. RNAcentral's name for it is "partial 16S ribosomal RNA". It matches the Rfam family "Bacterial small subunit ribosomal RNA", at positions 29 to 507 of the family's 1533-position model. The record is from RNAcentral.